AACGAACGCUGGCGGCAGGCUUAACACAUGCAAGUCGAGCGCCGUAGCAAUACGGAGCGGCAGACGGGUGAGUAACGCGUGGGAAUCUACCCAUCACUACGGAACAACUCCGGGAAACUGGAGCUAAUACCGUAUACGUCCUUCGGGAGAAAGAUUUAUCGGUGAUGGAUGAGCCCGCGUUGGAUUAGCUAGUUGGUGGGGUAAUGGCCCACCAAGGCGACGAUCCAUAGCUGGUCUGAGAGGAUGAUCAGCCACACUGGGACUGAGACACGGCCCAGACUCCUACGGGAGGCAGCAGUGGGGAAUAUUGGACAAUGGGCGCAAGCCUGAUCCAGCCAUGCCGCGUGAGUGAUGAAGGCCUUAGGGUUGUAAAGCUCUUUCACCGGAGAAGAUAAUGACGGUAUCCGGAGAAGAAGCCCCGGCUAACUUCGUGCCAGCAGCCGCCGUAA
Molecule: ribosomal RNA, 449 nt
Filed under: uncultured bacterium
Lineage: Bacteria
Description: partial 16S ribosomal RNA
Rfam family: Bacterial small subunit ribosomal RNA
Source: RNAcentral